RNAcentral lists this unclassified non-coding RNA (623 nucleotides) under Hevea brasiliensis (rubber tree). Lineage: Eukaryota; Viridiplantae; Streptophyta; Magnoliopsida; Malpighiales; Euphorbiaceae. The record is from RNAcentral.
GCAUGAUUGCAUUUGAAUUAUGGAACACAAAUGGUUGAGGUUUUUUCUCUAUGGACACUUAGCUCGUGUAAAAGAAACCCAUGCUUAGGAAAUUGUUUCCCUGGUAGUAAAUAGGUUGAAACAAUAAAAAGCUGUCUUCCAUUUGAAGUGACUUCAAUUUACAGGACUCACACUAGAGCUUUUGUCUUCUUGAGGAGGACUGGUAUAAAGAAUUAUUGUUUGAUGCAAGCUGUUAUGCCUAAAUAUCUAUUAAAAAAUAGGUGAUCAUUGUCUUGUGUUUUUUUGCUUUGAUUGGGGUUUCAUGUUUGUCACAAAUGGUUCCAAAUUAUAACGUUUUGGCAACUUUUAGCAAUGGCCUGGUCGCUAAAACAGGGUCAGUUUGGCCCUUUGAGGCUUAUGUUCCUAGUUGCAAGGUGGAAGUUUUGUAGUUGCAGCGACUCCUGUGCACUUGCUGGUGCUCAAUUAAGUCAUUUUAUUUUGAUAAAUUGCUUUAAAACAGCAAUAUAUAUAGGCAUUCAAUGAGACUUUCUAGGGAUUAUUCAAUGGGAUGCUAUUUUCUUGCCUUUCAUAAUUUCAUUCUUUAAUAUUAUUAUAAUUUUAUCAAUUCAUAUCUGCUUACUUAU